UCCAGCUUAUCGCUGGCGGUCUCCUGCGAGUGCCCAACUAAAUGAUGGCAACACAGGACAAGGGUUGCGCUCGUCGCGGGACUUAACCCAACAUCUCACGACACGAGCUGACGACAGCCAUGCACCACCUGUGCACGAGCCCCGAAGGGCUGCCGUAUUUCUACGACAUUCCCGUGCAUGUCAAGCCUUGGUAAGGUUCUUCGCGUUGCGUCGAAUUGAACCACAUGCUCCGCUGCUUGCGCGGGCCCCCGUCAAUUCCUUUGAGUUUCAGCCUUGCGGCCGUACUCCCCAGGCGGGGUACUUCCUGCGUUAGCGCCGGCACCCAAGGGGUCGCUCCCCCAGGCACCUAGUACCCAUCGUUUACGGCGUGGACUAC
RNAcentral lists this unclassified non-coding RNA (376 nucleotides) under uncultured bacterium. Its description in RNAcentral is "contains 16S-23S intergenic spacer region". The record is from RNAcentral.